This 190-nucleotide microRNA precursor is filed under the name Helianthus annuus (common sunflower). RNAcentral describes it as "microRNA MIR164". It matches the Rfam family "MIR164 microRNA precursor family". Lineage: Eukaryota; Viridiplantae; Streptophyta; Magnoliopsida; Asterales; Asteraceae. The record is from RNAcentral.
CUGAUCAAGAUGGAGAAGCAGGGUACGUGCAUUACUAAAUCAUCAUGGAAAAUAACAAACACCACAACUCUACUCUUUAGUUUGAUGACACCAAACCCUAACCGAGUACCCUUCGGUUAGGGGCUCAUGUUUGGCAUGAGAGAUCAAAUGAGUUAGUAGUUCAUGUGCCCAUCUUCGCCAUCAUGACCAC